CAGGUGUUAGUUUAUUUAAAAUAUUGGUUUUGGAGACCAGAGAUAGAAACUUUUCUACUCCUGA
This 64-nucleotide transfer RNA is filed under the name Ceracris fasciata fasciata. RNAcentral's name for it is "tRNA-Pro". Lineage: Eukaryota; Metazoa; Arthropoda; Insecta; Orthoptera; Acrididae. The record is from RNAcentral.